This 374-nucleotide transfer-messenger RNA is filed under the name Bacteroidia. Its description in RNAcentral is "UBA987 sp017640445 Standard tmRNA". It matches the Rfam family "transfer-messenger RNA". From Rfam's summary of the family: Bacterial tmRNA, also known as 10Sa RNA or SsrA, is named for its dual tRNA and mRNA-like properties. The record is from RNAcentral. RNAcentral also lists the same sequence under 1 other name. Lineage: Bacteria; Pseudomonadati; Bacteroidota.
GGGGCUGACUGGAUUUGACGGGAGGGCCAAUUGACAUGUAAGCAUGUAGAGCAUUGUAGGAGUUGCUCUUUAACUUAAACCUUCAAACACUUAAACGGCGAAUACAAUUACGCCAUGGCUGCCUAAUCUUAGAGAUUAAGCGAUUUGCCAUCCGCUCACCGUUGCUAAGUUUGGGCUGCGGCGGAUUUUGAGCGGUCGAAAUGCCCGAAUAGUUGGUGGUGAUCCCUGCUAGUCACUAACUUAUAAGCAGGAUAAGGGUAUGUUAAGGUCUUUGCCUUACCUGGCAUACUUCGAAAAUAAGAGGUAAUAAACAUGUAGAAAGCGUGAUUCAAUUCCUUCUCCGGACCCGGGUUCGACUCCCGGCAGCUCCACUU